AAAACAACCUCUAGUCCCCUUACUUAUUGGGGCAUUAUUGUACUUUUUUCCGUAUUUUCCAAACCUGGAGUGGCUAGAGGGGUGGAUCGAGGGACUCGACCUCUUUCUUCUCCUACUAGGACUUGUUCUCUUCAUUUGCGGGGAAGAAAAUGAAAGACUAGAAGAAUUACAACAUCCGGGGGAGAGCGACGUCUAUGGUCGGGCACUGGAGAAGCAUAGCCGCUAAGGCACCUUUUCUUAGUGGUGGAUAAGGUUUUUGGAAACGGGGGAGUUGGCUGAUAAAGAUGGACAGUAA
This 295-nucleotide long non-coding RNA is filed under the name Nicotiana benthamiana. RNAcentral's name for it is "long non-coding RNA (NBEN_LNC004761)". The record is from RNAcentral. Lineage: Eukaryota; Viridiplantae; Streptophyta; Magnoliopsida; Solanales; Solanaceae.